AAACAGAUGAUCUAGACCAUUGAAUUUUCAUCUGACGGAUUAGAUUACAUUCGCGUUAUUUGUAAUCUUGACCGUCCAUUCUCUCUGCUCUAUUUUUAUCUUUCUUCAAUCUCACGAUAUCACUGGUUCUCUAUCCUUCUCCCAAAAAAUCAUCAAAUUUCAGAGGAAUUUGCUUCAAUCUUCAUCAAUAAUUUGCUUCAAUCUUCAUCAAUUUCGUCUUUAGCUUCAAAAUUAAACCUGAAAAGUGAGUUUUGCGUUUCAACAAUCAAUUAUGUGAGUUAAUCAUUUUCGUCGCUGAAUAUUCAUCCCAUUGAAGCGAGUUUUGAGCUUUCUCGAUCCUCCAUUGAAGCGAGUUUGAGCUUUCUUCUCCAUUGAAGCGGCUUCUCAGGUAGUAUUUCUUAAAUUAUCGACUAUCAAUUUCACAAUCUAGGGUUUAUUUCUAGUUAAUUGCUCGAAUGUUUUUGUUAUGAAAUAUAAAUUGUUGUUUGGAUUCGAAAUUUGUUGAAUAGCAUGCGAAUUUUGUCGAUUCAAGCAUUUAAUUGUUUUUAGAUUUUAUGUGUCAUGUAUUGUGAGUUUGUGACCCUUGAAUUUAUGUAAAAUUGGGGGAUUAGAGCAAUCUUGAGCUCUUCAUUGUGCCUUUUGCUUGGUCGGUUUGUUGUCACGGAUUCAUGGGGAAUUCGAGUAGUUUAGCAUCUGUUUCUUGUGAUUGUACUGCCUUGCAUUUUGAUGCAGAGUAAAGAUGAGAAAUAGGGUUACAUUUUUGGGAACUAGCAAGCUGAACUUGGUGAAAUUGUAUAAUUUCUUGGAUUGUAUUUUCUUUAUGUUUAGUACUUUUAAGGCUUUAUAAAGAGGCUUCCAUUGCAUAUAUUGAGGCUUCCAUUGCAAAUAUUAAACAGAUUUCUACAUGUGAAGGAGACAGAAAAUUGAAGUAUGGCGAUCAUCAUGGUUUUCUCGUAAUUACACUUAUUGACACGCCAAGAGCUUAUGCUGAUCUCAAAUCUGAGGAACUUGGUCAGGGUGAAGCUAUAGCUCAAAACAUAAGGUCUAUGUUUGGACUGAGAGUUCCUGUCAUCUCAAUAGUCACCGGUGAAGGUGGUUUUGGGGGAGCUCUGGCCAUCUGUUGCUGCAAUAAAUUGUUUAUGCUUGAGAAUCCUGCUUUCUAUGUUGCUAGGUUUUCUUCGCAUCUAUUGUCUAUUUUUGGUUUCUUAUUAUUAUUCAAAUUCCUUCAUCAUUUUCCAAUACAUGCUUACCUUAUUAUUUC
This is a long non-coding RNA of Chenopodium quinoa (quinoa), 1261 nucleotides long. RefSeq lists it as uncharacterized. NCBI's taxonomy places the organism in Eukaryota, Viridiplantae, Streptophyta, Magnoliopsida, Caryophyllales, Amaranthaceae. The transcript has 2 exons. The record is from RefSeq and is a predicted model, not a curated record.